ACUAAAAUAGCAAAGUAGUAUUGCAUAAGGCCUAAGCCCUUCCGUCAUAGGUGCAAGUCCUAUUUUUAGUG
Molecule: transfer RNA, 71 nt
Filed under: Branchiostoma belcheri (Belcher's lancelet)
Lineage: Eukaryota; Metazoa; Chordata; Leptocardii; Amphioxiformes; Branchiostomatidae
Rfam family: tRNA
About the family: Transfer RNA (tRNA) molecules are approximately 80 nucleotides in length. Their secondary structure includes four short double-helical elements and three loops (D, anti-codon, and T loops).
Source: Rfam by way of RNAcentral